UGUGAAACAUUUGUACAGAGUUUGUGAAAAGAAAACUAUGAUUCUAAAUACAAUUUAGCAAAAAUAUUUUGUUAUUUCUUGAAAAAUAAUGGAACAUAUUAAAUUUGUUUAUACAAGUUAACAUUAUUAGUGUCUAUUGUGGAUAAAUGAUGCAGGGAUUGAUGGAAAUAAACAAUUCAUUGACGUGGGUUUUUAGUGGAACUUUUAGAUGCAAUUGAACAAACAACUGUACUGCAAAAAUAGUAGCCACAUGAAAGAUAGAAAAGUGUAAAUUGGCGUUUUCUUGAACAUGUUUAUUUUAUGUAGAUCAGAAUAUAGUAAGAUUCUCGUAUAUAAAGAGCUCAAGACGACUGCAGUCAAAUUCUUUUUCCUUAAAAUGAGAGUUGUUAUUGCUUUACUUAUUGAAUUUAAAUAGAAACUAUUGGCCAUACAAUUCUAACAGAAACUGAAGGUGGAUAUAACGAAUUCGAUAAGAUUACAAAGUAAAUCUACAGUUAAUUUAUUGAAAAUAUUUAAAAAAUAUCAAAUUAACUGAAAAUACACAAAAUAAGUAGUAUAAUAAAAUAUUUAUUACGCUAAUG
Lucilia sericata (common green bottle fly) is the source of this 581-nucleotide long non-coding RNA. RefSeq lists it as uncharacterized. The record is from RefSeq and is a predicted model, not a curated record. NCBI's taxonomy places the organism in Eukaryota, Metazoa, Arthropoda, Insecta, Diptera, Calliphoridae. The transcript has 3 exons.